CAGCAGCCGCGGUAAUACGUAGGGUGCAAGCGUUAAUCGGAAUUACUGGGCGUAAAGCGUGCGCAGGCGGUUAUAUAAGUCAGAUGUGAAAUCCCCGGGCUCAACCUGGGAACUGCAUUUGAGACUGUAUGGCUAGAGUGUGUCAGAGGGGGGUAAAAUUCCACGUGUAGCAGUGAAAUGCGUAGAUAUGUGGAGGAAUACCGAUGGCGAAGGCAGCCCCCUGGGAUAACACUGACGCUCAUGCACGAAAGCGUGGGGAGCAAACAGGAUUAGAUACCCCUGUAGUCCCUGUCUCUUAUAA
RNAcentral lists this ribosomal RNA (301 nucleotides) under uncultured bacterium. Its description in RNAcentral is "partial 16S ribosomal RNA". It matches the Rfam family "Bacterial small subunit ribosomal RNA", at positions 509 to 809 of the family's 1533-position model. The record is from RNAcentral.